This 482-nucleotide ribosomal RNA is filed under the name uncultured bacterium. Its description in RNAcentral is "partial 16S ribosomal RNA". It matches the Rfam family "Bacterial small subunit ribosomal RNA", at positions 30 to 507 of the family's 1533-position model. The record is from RNAcentral.
UUGAACGCUGGCGGCAGGCCUCACCCAUGCAAGUCGAGCGGAUGAAGGGAGCUUGCUCCUGGAUUCAGCGGCGGACGGGUGAGUAAUGCCUAGGAAUCUGCCUGGUAGUGGGGGAUAACGUCCGGAAACGGGCGCUAAUACCGCAUACGUCCUGAGGGAGAAAGUGGGGAUCUUCGGACCUCACGCUAUCAGAUGAGCCUAGGUCGGAUUAGCUAUUUGGUGGGGUAAAGGCCUACCAAGGCGACGAUCCGUAACUGGUCUGAGAGGAUGAUCAGUCACACUGGAACUGAGACACGGUCCAGACUCCUACGGGAGGCAGCAGUGGGGAAUAUUGGACAAUGGGCGAAAGCCUGAUCCAGCCAUGCCGCGUGUGUGAAGAAGGUCUUCGGAUUGUAAAGCACUUUAAGUUGGGAGGAAGGGCAGUAAGUUAAUACCUUGCUGUUUUGACGUUACCAACAGAAUAAGCACCGGCUAACUUCGUG